Long non-coding RNA from Odocoileus virginianus texanus, 2117 nucleotides. RefSeq lists it as uncharacterized. Lineage: Eukaryota; Metazoa; Chordata; Mammalia; Artiodactyla; Cervidae. The record is from RefSeq and is a predicted model, not a curated record.
UCUCCGUUGGCCGUUUCGGGCUCCACGCAGCGCCCCUUUCUCCGGGUGACCCUGCUGUUCCGGUGGAAUUUGGCGUAGCAGCGCAGCCCUGAGCGAAGAGAGGCAAGGGGGUCAGACGUGAGACCAGCCCGUCCUCCCCACCUCUCUCCCCCCCAGCCCGGCCUCGCACCGUUUCACUAUCACUGCCUUCUUUUUUUCUGCCCUACAACCAAUCCAUCCCCCGCACAGCAGCCUGAAUGGGUUUAAAAAAGAGAAUCACAGACGGAGAAGAGUGAACAGAUGGAGCACAGGAGAUAAUUCGGACCACGAAACUAUUUUGUGCGAUACUAUCUAUAAUGGUUUGCGCAAGUGACUUAAACUUUCUGUGCCUCAGUUUACUUUUGCGUGAAAUGGGGAGAACGAUAGCUCCCGUCUGAGAUGGUUGUGAGGAUUGAGGCGCUAACAGAUCAUGGGAGAUCAUACCAGCUUGUAUUUCAAGAGGUGAGAAAAGCAAAUCUGAGCAACGAUGCCAGGAAUGGAAACUAAAUGAAUUCACAGAUUGGGAAAGCACCGAGCGAAGCUGUUCCUGCUGGUGUCUUCAGUUCCCCAGGGAUCCUCUCACCCCCUUCGCUGCCCACCCCUGCCUCGAGGAGAAUGGGAGGUGGCAAGGUUCUCGGUGCCGAGGGAGCCCCCGGCAUCUGGCCUCACCUUCCACGCACAUGCAGUCGUCAAAGCAUUUGUUGUUCAGGCCUCGGUUGUGGGGCGUGCAGAGAUGCUCCCGGAGGUCGCAGCAGGUCCCUGCCCACAUGGCAAGCACACGCGGUCAGCUGUGCCGAGCAGACCCUCCCUGCCGCCCCAUACAUGCUCCCGCUGGACGGGAGAUCCAUCAUCUCUGUGGCGGGGCUGCCUCUGGCAGAGUGGACCAUCUGGUGCACAAGGCUCCCAGCCGGAACCACCGACGGAUGUCCCCAGAGGGCGGGCGGCUGAGACCCUAGACGCCCCAGAUGGGCAAUUGAUUGGUCAUGGGAGGAGGAAAGGCACUGUUGAUUCCCCACUGGGUAGAAAGGCUGGGGGGCCGCCAGGUGUGGAGUCAGCGUGGAGCUGGGAGGGGCUGCAGGGAUCAUGGACGCCAACGUCCUCUUUUGACAGAUGGGGAAACAGAAGCCCCUGAGACGCAGCCCCAGGCACAACCUCACCCACCACAGAGCCAGCUCUCAGAGCCACUGUCCAGUUGGCCCAAACUUGAGCCUUUUCUUCCUGCUCUGGGUGGAAAAACCGUUUGGAAGGGAAACAACUUGUCAGGGAGCUGGUGGUCUGGUUUACACAAUGCCAAAUGAUUCAGUUGCUGUUUUGUAGAAUAAUCUGGCUACUGAAUUAACAGGAGCCAAGGUGUGCCACUCAAGUCUCUGCCCUUGCAGUCCACUGGCCAGGAGAGCAGUUAGCCUCCAGCCCCCCUGUUAACACCUGCAGGAGCCUCCUGGGCUGAUGAUGUCACACUGGGCCUGAGCAGAACAGCCCGGGCAGUGAUUGGCUGCCAGGGCCUGGCUAUUUCUGCCCAGUGGAGGCCUCUUGUAACAGGGAGUCUUUGUUCUGGAGCUGCCCAUUGGGCUGGCCGAGAUUGUAUCAGACUCCUGUCCAUUCCUCCUUCCUCUCGCUUUUAUUGUUCACAGGCCUUAUCCCCCACCAUCCCCAGGAACCUCCUGCCCUUCUAAUUCCAGCUCGGUUUCAGCUUCCCAGAAGUCCCAAGUGACCCGGCCAAGGCCAGCAGUUUCGACCAUCCAUCCAAACCCCAGGCCCCUGUUCUCAGACUGUCUUGAUGGGCUCAGCUGCUGAACAGGUCAGGAUAUCAUCAAAGCACCCACAGGAGCCCAGCAGUGUCACGACAGGAUGAGGACAGAAUGAAGCCUGAUAAGACAUUAAGGAGAAGUCGGGAGAAGGGUCAUCCUGACUUAAGGCAGUGUGGGACAGCGGUUCAGAACAGCAGACUUAGGUUUGGGCCACUUCCAAGCUCUGUGAUCACAGCUGAAACACUUGGCCCCUCUGAGCCUCAGUUUCCUUGCCUGAAAAUUGGGAAUGACAGGGUCGCUCUCUGGGUUGCUUUGAGGAUGAAACAGAAUAAAGUAUGGCAGCAACUCUCA